Hippopotamus amphibius kiboko is the source of this 107-nucleotide small nuclear RNA. Lineage: Eukaryota; Metazoa; Chordata; Mammalia; Artiodactyla; Hippopotamidae. The record is from RefSeq and is a predicted model, not a curated record.
GUGCUUACUUCAGCAGCAUAUAUACUAAAAUUGGAACAAUACAGAGAAGAUUAGCACAGCCCCUGUGCAAGGACGACAUGCAAAUUCAUGAAGUGUUUCAUAUUUUA